Empidonax traillii (willow flycatcher) is the source of this 1948-nucleotide long non-coding RNA. RefSeq lists it as uncharacterized. The transcript has 2 exons. The record is from RefSeq and is a predicted model, not a curated record. NCBI's taxonomy places the organism in Eukaryota, Metazoa, Chordata, Aves, Passeriformes, Tyrannidae.
CUUGCAUUGUCCCUACUUUUGUCCUGACCUUCAAACUCUAGGGGAGGCAGUAUAAUCACAAGUGCCAGGACAAUCACAAUCUUUAAUCCUGUUACGGACUUCUGUGCCUGGUGUGGCUCCUGUUUGGGUGGGAAGUGGAUGCUUCUGCAUCUCAAGCUCCCUGCUUUUCUCAGAAGAUUAUGACCUGAUGUGGUGUGGCAUAAAAAGGGGCUUUACUCACCUUCUCUGCAGUUGUCCUGCAUUUAUUUCCUUUUUAAACUCUCAUUCAUCAUUAUUCUUAUUUCUUGUAAGAGUCUGGAUUCCUUUCUUAAGGCUAUGUGCCACACCUGUGUGUAGAGUUGGUGACAGUAGAGUCAGCCUGGCAACUAGUGAGGGAGACUUCUGGAGCUGUGAUGUCACUGGAGAGCUGAAUUCCCAGCCUAUGAAGUCAUAGCUGGGAAAUUGGGUACUCAGCCUAAUCCCAAUAAUUACCCAAUGGGACUGUAAAGUGUCAAUGCAUUAGUCUAUUGCGUGAUGACUAACUAUUUAAACUCUAACACAUGCCACCAUUAAUUGCCACUUUUUGCAUUUCCCUAAGAUUCACUUAUUAGUAAGCUAUUAAACAUUCACUUGAAACGAUUGCAUUGUAAUGAACUGAGAUCACUGCUCACACAGCCAUUGCAAUGCGCAAACUGGUAGGAAAGCACCUAAAAUCCUGUGAUGGGAGUGAUUUUAGGAUGGCAGAGUAAACAAACUAAUAUACAGAUAUAACAUCACCCUCACCAGUCAUUCCUAUUUCAGGAUCUGUGCGACCAUCAUCAGUUUCACUUUGUUAUGCAAAACUGAUGGACUGAAGGACUUUAAGUCCAAGUUUCCCAUGCCCUGGGCUGACAAGAUGAGGGUCUUGAGGAAGGAACAGCAACUUGAAGGAAACGAAUCAUUGCUUUUUAGAAAGGUUGCUUUGAAAUCAGAAGCAGAAAUGAAACUAUUUUAAUCCCAAACACUCUGUAGAAUUGAAAGUUUGAUUCAAGUUUGUUCUUUCUUGUCAUCUUCUUGUUGAGAAGUUCAGUGUGGGAGGAAUUUCUCAGGAAGAGCUUCUUCAUCACAACCUGGGCAUUGCCUGGUCGGACCACCAAAGGGGAACAUUCCCUCUUCAAGGGUUACAGCCCAUAAAAAUGGCAAAGGUUCUGCUUCCUUCUUUCCUUUUUUCUCCUGCUUUUGUGAGGACAGAUGACUAAUGAGUGGAGCAGUUGAAGCCCCCCAUCAGGUUGAUGUCCUGAGCAGGCUUGCUCCUGCAGGGAAUGCAUGAUGGAAUGGAUUUCCUGGUCAGGGCAGCCUCUCUGCUCCUCAGGCAUGCUCAGGUUUUCCUAGUUUCCAGGCCCCUUUCCACACCACAUGCAGUUCCAGCCACAGGUACUGAAGAAGCAGAGAGGCCAGAUCAGCCUCUUGGGGAGAGGGGAGAUUGCAGUCGGAUCACUGCAAACAGGACUUCAUUAAUUAUAAAUGGACAGAUUCUCUUGAGUUGCUGUAGCUCUGCAUGAGUCCUAUUCUAGCUGAGGUUUUUUUUUUUUUUUCUCCUGAGGAGUUGCUGAAGGGGCUCUAAAUAGUGUGAUGGAAAAAUAAGGAACCAGCUGUGCUCUGCAGCCAGCUCAACCAGGGCCUUUCUACAGCAGUAGCCGACUGCAAUCUCCUCUCUGCCUCACUCUGCACUUCCAUCUCUUGGGUUCUGCCAUCUGGUCCUGCUCUGCAGGUUUCUUCUUCCUAGCAACAUGUUUUUGUCUCCUCUAGUAACCUCUUUUUCAGCAUAGUAAUGCUUGGACAUACAUUUAGACAACAGCACGAUCAAGAAGUCCAGUUGUGGGACACCCCAUUGCCUGGUCUGUGCCUCCACCUUGGAGAUGGUCCUGGUUGAAUGAAAGCAGAAGGAACAAUAAAACCAGCAAACCUUGGCUUUCGACUAGGAAGUGCC